Molecule: ribosomal RNA, 491 nt
Filed under: uncultured bacterium
Lineage: Bacteria
Description: partial 16S ribosomal RNA
Rfam family: Bacterial small subunit ribosomal RNA
Source: RNAcentral
AGUGAACGCUGGCGGUAGGCCUAACACAUGCAAGUCGAACGGCAGCACAGUAAGAGCUUGCUCUUACGGGUGGCGAGUGGCGGACGGGUGAGGAAUACAUCGGAAUCUACUUUUUCGUGGGGGAUAACGUAGGGAAACUUACGCUAAUACCGCAUACGACCUACGGGUGAAAGCAGGGGAUCUUCGGACCUUGCGCGAUUGAAUGAGCCGAUGUCGGAUUAGCUAGUUGGCGGGGUAAGGCCCACCAAGGCGACGAUUCGUAGCUGGUCUGAGAGGAUGAUCAGCCACACUGGAACUGAGACACGGUCCAGACUCCUACGGGAGGCAGCAGUGGGGAAUAUUGGACAAUGGGCGCAAGCCUGAUCCAGCCAUACCGCGUGGGUGAAGAAGGCCUUCGGGUUGUAAAGCCCUUUUGUUGGGAAAGAAAAGCAGCAGGUUAAUACCCCGCUGUUCUGACGGUACCCAAAGAAUAAGCACCGGCUAACUUCGUG